Molecule: non-coding RNA, 613 nt
Organism: Pantherophis guttatus
Lineage: Eukaryota; Metazoa; Chordata; Lepidosauria; Squamata; Colubridae
Source: RefSeq, a predicted model, not a curated record
GGUCAAUUUCAUCUGAUGAUUUUUUAAAAAAUGCAGUGUCUAUUAUUGUCUGAUGAAGGGUUAAUAAACUUGUACAAUGUUUGGUGACCUAGUUGGCCAAAUAAAAAUAUUGCCUUCAUGAGUAUGAAGGAUGCUAAGGUUAUAUUCUAAUCGUAACUCAACUGUCCAGGCAACAAAACAAGCCUUCCACUGAACUAUGAUAUCACAGUGCUACUCUGGAUCUUCAUCUGGUUGACUCACACAAAGAAGUUUUGCUAAAUGACUGAUGGAUGGGCAGGAGGAAACCGUACUGGCCAUGGUCACGAAGCUCAAAGGCGAAUGAAUAUUUUAUUCCUUCAUCGUAAGCCCAAUCUACGGAUGUUCCAGAACAAGGAUCUGAAAAACAAAUAAUGUUAAAAACAACCGGAACACAAAGGGAAUGGUGAAAUAGGAAGACUGACUGUGUGAGAUUAGUCUGAGAAAAAGAUUUUCACCAGAGCUACCUCCAUUGGUUCAAAUGAAACAGAAUGAGGACUAGCAUAGGCAAUUAAAUGGAUAUUGUUAUUUCAGGGCACCCAACUAUCCAUGCCUUCGUCCAUACUUUCUAAAAUCAUGAUUAAAUUCCCUGCAUGUA